UGUCUUGGCAAACACCAAAAAGAAACAUUAAGGUUUUUAGAAAAAUCACUAAUAAUGGAAUAGAAAAGCUUGUGAACGAAAAAAGGCGAGCUAAAAAGGUGCGAAUGGCAGAUACAUCGCUCUCCUUCUACUCAGCUUCAACUGAAAUCUGCUGUACGUAAGUUAAAAAAAGCGCUUAAACGCGAGGAAGAAUACAGCACUGAAAAUUAUAUAAAGAACUGUGUCCAAAUUCUAGCAAGCAAAACUCUCUUUGGAAAGCCCAAAAGUCUUUUAAGCCACCGGUAGAUUCCAACAUGCCUAUAAGACAGUCAAAUGGUAAUUGGGCACGAAGUGACGAAGAUAAGGCAAAUUGUUUUGCAAAUCACCUAGAAAAGGUAUUUCAAUCAAAUUGUCCAAAGAACAAUUUUAAGUUGCCAAUCAUCCACAGUACCACAAAAGAGUCCCUUGGGUCUAUUCAACGACUUCAACUACUGAAAUUGUUAGUAUUAUAAAAGAGCUUAACCCAAAAAAAUCGUCAGUCCACGAUAAUAUUACUCCAAAAAAGCUAAUUGAGUUACCAAAUAUUGCUUUAACAGUGCUCUCCUUGCUCUUUAAUGCAAUUUUUAGUUUCGGAUCCUAUCCCAUUUUAAUGGAAAAAGUCGCAGAUAAACAUGAUAGAUAAACCCGGGAAAGACCAGACACAGCCGUCUUCAUACAGACCAAUCAGUCUUCUACCCUGUCUUUCUAAAAUAUUUGAAAAAGGUUUACUAUCAAAGACGUCUCCUUUCUUUCAUGAAAAUAAUGUAAUACCAACGCACCAUUCGAACAUAGAGAGUACUGUUCUGCUAUAUUUCUAGAUGUGGCUCAGGCGUUUGAUAAAGUGUGGCAUGAAGGACUUUUGUAUAAGAUUAAAAAAAGUUUACCUUUCCAAUUGCAUAAAACCUUGGAGUCCUAUUUAAAAAAUAGAAAAUUUGCAGUAAAAGUAGGUGAUUUUAUAUCUGAUGAACGUUCAAUAAGGGCUGGAGUACCACAGGGCAGUGUUUUAGGCCCAAUUCUAUACAUCAUAUAUACGGCUGAUCUUCCAACUGCUAAUAAUGUCUUGACAUCAACUUUUGCGGAUGACACAGUUUUAGAGUCGUAAACAAAUGCCCCAUUAUAGCAUCAAGAAUAUUAGCGAUGCACUUAAGUUCUGUCGAAGAAUGGCUAGCAAACUGGCGUAUAAAUGUAAAUGAACAAAAGUGCAAGCAUGUUACAUUUUCCCUAAGACCAAAAAUGUGCCCGGCAGUAAAAAUGAACAAUAUUCUAGUGCCUCAAGCGAAUGAAGUUACCUAUCUUGGCAUUCACCUAGAUAGAAGGCUUACGUGGAGAAAACAUAUAUCUAGUAAAAUAACGUGCAUGAAGAUAAGAGCUGCAAAUUUAAAUUGGCUUUUAAAUAAAAACUCUAAACCUAGACAACAAAGUGCUUUUAUACAAUGCGGUCAUAAAGCCGAUUUGGAUGUACGGCAUUCAACUGUGGGGUACGACCUGUGCAACAAAUAUCGAUAUAAUACAAAGGUUCCAAUCGAAAAUGCUUAGAACAAUCACAUGCUCACCAUGGUACAUGCGCAAUGAAAAUAUCCAUAAAGAUCUUAGUAUCCCUAUGGUAAAGAAAGAAGUUGAGGACAGCGGAUUGAAAUAUAUAUCUAAGAUUUUAUAACUUGUUGUUAGGCUUAAAAACAAGCAGAUUCAAUAAAUAAGGAAAUAUUGAAAAAAAAAAAUAAUCUGUGCUAAAAGAAACGACUCUAGAAAGUUUGGUUGAUAUAGCUUUAGUAGUUUACGAGAUAUGUACAAAAAACUUAGUAGGGGCGGGGCUACGCCCACUUCCCCAAAAAAAUUACGUCAAAAUAUGCCCCUUAAUAGUGCGAUCUUUUGGACCAAAUUUUUACUUUCAUAGAUUUAUUUAUGGCCUAGUUAUGGCACUUUAUGUGUUUUUUUUAGGGCGUGGCAGUGGUCCGAUUUCGUCCAUCUUCGAAAGCAACCUUCCUAUAGUGCCAAGAAACACGUGUACCAAGUUUCAUCAAAAUAUCUUAAUUUUUACUCAAGUUACAGUACACAGACGGACAGACAGACAGACAUCCGGAUUCGAACUUCACUCUUCACCCUGAUCACUUGGGUAUAUAUUACUCUAUAUCUAACUGGUUUAGUUUUGGGUGUUACAAAUAAUCGUUAUAUGAACAAAACUAUUACACUCUCUUAGCAACUUUGUUUUUUUGGAGAGUUUUUUUGUAGAGUAUAAAAAUCUCUCCAGUCGAGACAAAACCAGAGCUGUCCGAAGUUUGGCCUUUGGCGGCGCUUUAAGUCGAAUAUCUAUAAUAUAUAUCUAUAUUUUUUAAUCAGGCGUUCCUCUUUCCAACGGUAUUUUCAGAUUCCGUCGCCAAAGAAAUCGGAAGUGUGCCUUACGUGGUAUUACAACUUAAAAAUGAAUCAAUAUGAUAUUGAAUUAAUUGUUAUUCAAGAUCUUUUAAACUGAAGUAAAUGAAUGACAGUAAAAAUUCAGUUGACUUUUUUAAUAACAAACAAUCAAUUAAUUAAUUGCCCGUAUAUUAUCGUUUAUAUCAAAUUCUAAUUAGAUUAAACAUUCACAAUUUUAGUUUUCAUCGUUAUUAACCUCAGAAAAAUUGAUAUUUGUGCAACAAUUUUUUUUGCAAUUCUCAAAAGAAAAAAACAAUUGCUUAAUUCUAAGUAUGCAGUUAUGUUUAUUAAUGCUUUAUCUCUGUUUGCCCCACAAAACAUAGACGACAAUACUAUUGAAAAUAUAGAAACAACUAACGAGAAUAUCAAGAUUGAGAUUAUGAACAAAGAUGUUAUACAAAAUUAUGUAAAUACUGCUAAAGUAAUGUGGCAUCGAAAAAUAAGCGUACUGGACCAAAAUUUUCGAUAAAUGAACGUACCAAAUGGCCUAUUCGCAAGUUGGCUACUCAGUCUAUAAGUGCCAAGAGAACGUCUACAACAAAUUUUGAAAGGAGACUUAAAUCUUAAAUAUGAAUGCAAAGUUAUACCCUUUAUAAUCUUCACAAAAACACAUGCAUCCUUUUUCGAAAAAUACAAAUUCUAAGAAGUAGAGUUUCAAAAUUUGAUAUUUAGUGAUGAGGAAACAUCAAAUUUAGAUGAAUAAUAAGUAUUGGAGGGAUCUACGGCACCCUCGCCAUAAUUACUAUAACCGCAAACAUGGCGGUGAAUCUCUAAUGUUGUGGGCUGCUCUUAGCACCAAAGAGAAGUCUUCCAUUUUCCCUGUCCCGAGUCGUAUGAAAGCCAAAUUUAUAUGGAAUUGCUGGACAUUGAAUUUAUCACGUUUUCUAACGCUUAUCAUGGCGACAACUGGGUGUUCCAGCAGGUUAACGCGCAUAUCCACGUCGCUGGGUAUCCUGAAUCCCUUUUUAAGUCGCGUAAUAUUCCCUAACUUAGGUGUCCGUCAUUAAGUCUAGAUCUGAAUUAAAUAGAGGAUUUAUGGGACAUACUUUCCCCAACAUUUUUUAGCUGAACAAAGCAGUAUGACAGCUGAAACAAACUAUUGAGGAGGAAUGGGCGAAGAUAAAGUUUCAGUACCGUAAAAGUUGGGCAAUUCUAUGACAAAUUGGCUAAAACUUUUGAAAAACAAGAACGGGGCCCAAUUUCAUAUUAAUAAUUCGAAAACAUUUCAUUCAAAUUGUAUACAUAUUUAAAAGUUAAUACUUAACUAAAACUUUUAAUUUUGCACAAAUAACUAUUUUCUAUGAUAUAAAAUGCAGUUUUAUUAAUUUGGUUACUUUUUCUUUUAGAAUGGUAUAUGUUUCUUUAAAUACUACUUACUAACAUCUGACAAAAAAAAAUCAAACAUCAAUAUAAUAUGCAGAGGUUGAAUAAAAAUUGAGAAAAAUAACAGUGCACAAAUAUCAAUUUUCUUGAGGUAUUUAUUGAAUAUUUAAUUUUAAUAAACAAAAAUUAUUAAAGAGAACAAAAUCAAAGCAAAUGCUCAAAGCAGCCCAGAUUUACAUAUUCAUUCAACAGCUGUUUCUACAUCUGAUGUGUCCUAGCUGCUGCUACCGAAAAUUCCACCAGCAGAAACUAGCAGCGCUCAUGCGAUUAGCUGACGCUCUCUUCUGCUAUUUUUUUGAGUAAAGAAACACUUUUCCAGCAGAAACUUGACAAAUUAUCACUAGAUAGUAAACUGACAUUAUGCAACUGUAUACCAAAUUUUACGUAAUACCGGAUUGAUAUCAAGGGCUUUUCAUCUUUUCUUUAUUUACUAAUAUUUAUUUUCAAUUUAUGUGAAUUUGUAAUUUUAUCCCACAAAAAAUUUUUUUUUAACUUUUUAAUAAUCAUAUUAUAAUUUUAAGAUUUACAAUUCACAUGAAAUUCACUUACGAGUAAACUGUAAAAAUAAUCGAAUUCUAUAUUCCAAAGGAAUGGGAUUUUUCGAGGUAUCAAAUCGGUCACAUUUAUAUUUUUCAGUUAUUUUACAAAUUAAGAUUUUUAUGAAAGGAUUUUCUAAUAUUUCCUUUGAAAAUUAUUCAUCCAUUUUCAAGAAAUUCAGUAAUUCGUUAAAUCUCGAAUUCACUUAAUAUUUGAAAAAUGAUGGCGAUAAUAGUAAAUGGUUUAUAUAUAGUGAAAAUAAAACUAUAAAAUAAGUUCCAUGUGGAAGUAGAGCAUUUUAAACGACAGCAAAAUAAAAAAACCUGUCAUAAUAUUCAAAUAUCCAGUCUAAAUACCGCUCUUCGGACAACCAUAGGUUGACACUUGAUGUUUCCAGUCAAGCACCUUCAUAAUGAGGCCCACAUGCUACGUGUGAAGGAUCAUAACGACAAACUGAGUAUAUGACCACACCUCAUUACAUGCCCCUUAAACCCCACUCUUCCAACUCCCCUUUCCCUUUGGUCCAGCCCUGUCGAAAAACCUCGUUUCGGCUUACCGCUUCAGGAAGGUUUGAGAAAUCCUACAACAACAGCAAUAUGAAACGUGCUGAUUAUUCGCGAAUUGCGAAAGGAUCGCAUAAAAAUGGCAACGAAAUCUGUCGGUUUUUGGACAGAAAAGGGAUUUCCUAAAAGAAGCCCCUGCUCUCAGAUCGCAAUCGAAAACAUCAUUUGGAGAUCGCUUUAAAAUACAUUAGACAACAAGUGAAUAGAAAAGUGAAACUGUUUUCUGCGGAAACAAAAUCGGAUCGGAAAGAACCGAGGUACACUACAACAACUGAUGUAUGGAAACGCCGAUGUAAUGUUGGGAAUACAAUGUGAUGGUCCGGUAUUGAGUCUAUAUUCUAUAUUGAGGGACAAACUGGCAAAUUUAAGUACAUAUAGAUUAUGAACGAUUUAUGAUUUUUGCCCAUUUUUCUAAUAUGCCCGUAAUAUGGAUUUACUAGCGGGAUAAUGAUCCAAAACACACAACCACUAAGCAGUAAUUUCACCACUAUUUGGUGACAGUUUUAGAUUGACCGUCUUGAAAUUCAGAUGUAAACCCUAUCGAAACCUAUUAGUCUCACCUGAAAAAGUACGGUCGUCUAAAAAAAAAUGUAGACGAAUGGAAACCGAGUGGAAAACUAUUCCACAGAAUUUCGCCAUAAAAAAAUAGAGUCAAUUUUAAGCACUGAAUACACUUGCAGACUUGUCUGUACUACAUGUCAUGUAUGGCAUACCGUCGCAUCGUGUAAAGCCUGGUCUGUACACCAAAUUUUAGGUCUGCAUGCAAGUAUGCACAAAAUUGAAAUGUUUCAAUUUUUCUGCUCGUCGUUGCGACGGGUAGCAAAGUGUAUUGUGUGAUACGCAGACCGAUCUCAUUCUUGCUUCAUUUUUGCAGUGGAAGGUUGUGUACGCAUCAUGGCGCGACACGAUAUUUCGAAAAUUUAUGAAGCGAUUUUGUUCAAAUUUUGCACAUUUCUUUGCAAUAACAUUAUGUAGUUAAUGAACUAAGGAUUAUAUAUAUUUUUUAUUACAAAUGUUUUUUUGAGCCAAAAUAAGCCGAAAAUUUUAGUUUUUUUUUGUUAAAAAUUUGUAAAAAAUUUAAAUUUUAAUAUAAUUUUUUUCCUUCGAUCAUUAACUAGAUUUAUCCAUUUACUGUCGAAAUAUCUUUGGUUUUUUGAUUUUAAUAUUAAGGUAUAAUGUCCACGGCAAGAGCCUUUUUUGGACACAUAAUCGGAGAUGAAGUACCAACGGCUGGGAUUUCGAAAUUUUUUAAUAAAAAUUUAAAUAAAACAACCCUUAAAGUCUUAUGAAACUCCUACGGGAGAGAAUUCAGUAAACCAAAAUCGUUGCUUUCGUUUUUUUAUAUUCUCGCAACAAAAGUUGCUAAGAGAGUAUUAUAGUUUUGUUCACAUAACGGUAAAACUAAACGAGUUAGAUAUAGAGUUAUAUAUAUAAAAAUGAUCAGGGUGACGAGACGAGUCAAAACCGUGAGAGGGUUGCUUUCAAAAAUGGGCAAAAUCUGACCACUGCCCCGCCCACAAAAUUGCGAAAACCGAAAACACAAAAAGUGUCAUAACUAAGCCAUAAAUAAAGUUAUUAAAGUAAAAUUUGGAGCAGAUGAUCGCACUAGGAAGGGGCAUAUUUGGAUGUAAUUUUUUUGGGAAAGUGGGCGUGGCCCGCCCCCAAAUCGGCUAUUUGUAUAUAUCUCGCAAACCAAUAAAGCUAUAUAAACCAAACUUUCUGCAGUCAGUUCUCUUACUUACCCCACCACACACCAUGAAAUUAGUUGAAAUCGGAUAAUAACCACGCCCACCUCCCAUACAAAGGUUAGGUUGAAAAUUACUUAAAGUGAGUUAACUCAGUAACGAAAAACGCCAGAAACACUAAAUUUUACAUAAGAAAUGGCAGAUGGAAGCUGCACUCAGAUUGUUUUUACAAAAUGGAAAAUGGGCAUGGCAUCGCCCACUUAUGAAUCAAAAACCAUAUCUCAGGAACUACUCGACCGAUUUCAAUGAAACUUGGUUUGUAAUAGUUUCCUUGCAUCCCAAUGAUAUAUUGUGAAAAUAGGCCAAAUCGCUUCACAACCACGCCUACUUCCUAUAUACCAGAACUUUGAAGAAUCUGAAUUGUAAACUUUGCAAUAUAUAAAGUAAGCACUAGUGAAGAUAUCGAUGCAGAACUUUGCACAAAUACUACGUUUAUAGUGUGGCAGUCCCAUUCUAAAAAUCGCCGAAAUCGGAACAUAGGUUUUCAAGGCCCCAUUAAUCGAACAUGAGGACCUCGGUGCUUCUAACCUAAUAUUAUGGUUUCCAACUUUCAAUGGACUUUAACAAUAUAUAUGACGAAUAUAUGGGUCAAAUUGUAUAUUAUAUAAUAUAAAUAAAGUUAAAUAAAUAAAUUGCGAGAGUAUAAAAUGUUCGGUUACACCCGAACUUAGCCCUUCCUUACAUGUUGCUUUUCAUUUUCAGCGCAUCCCGAAAUUACAAGCAGCGCCACAAUUGCAUCAUCCGAUGCCAUAACGUCCGCUCACUUCAAAGAUUGCAACGAAAUGAUGUAUGAACAACUUGUCGCAUAAGUGUACAGUGAACUGACUUGCGACCCGGUAUGCAUACAAGUCUGCAAUUGUAUUCACUGCUUUACGCAGAUGUCAAACCGGGCACAAUACCGAUUACUUUGGCGAUCGGGGUUUGACAAAGAAUUCCGGUAUAAAUGUGAUAUCGGAAAGAGGAGGCUCUACAGAGAAUAAAUAUAUAUAAAUAUUGUUUAUGUUUGAAAUAUUUUUAUUUAAAUGCCUAAUUUGUUUCUAUAAGUACCACAUGGUAUUUCAAUAUGUUUAAUACACACAUCACAUUUUUCACUUCACAUAUUGAAAAUUACACUGUUAACAAUCAAUUAAAUUCAAAUUUUUCAUUUCUUUAAGGCUUUUUAAGCAAAAAUUACUUAUUUUAUAAAUCACUUUGCACAUUAAUAGCUGAACAUGUUUCUGUGUUUACAAUUAUGUGGAAACCGAUCGGUGCCACUUCUUAGAAACUACAUGUGAACGAUUUUGCAACACUGCGUUUUGUUUAUUUUCUUUUCGUAGAACUUUUUUCUGAAUCAAAAUCAUCAAAAAUGUAUAUAAACAAGUAAGGAAUUGCUAAGUUCGAGUGUAACCGAACAGUUUAUACUCUCGCAUAUUAUUUAUUUAAUUUUAUUAAAUAACACACAUAUUCGUCAUACAUAUAGUAUAAAGUCCAUUGAAAGUUGGAAACCCUAAUAUGGGAGCUAGGGGAAGUUAUGAUCCGAUUUCACCCACGGAGUCAUAUUAUAAGAGGAAAAAUAUUCCCUAAAAAUGUCUUCAAAAUAUCUGAGAGGCUUACCUACAUUUUCGGUUAAAAUAUAAUAUAAACACUGAUUCAGAUCGACAUCAAAUUUCUGGUAUAUGGGAAGUAGGCGUGGUUGAGAACCGAUUUGGCCUAUUUGCACAACAUCAUCAUUGGAAUGCAAGGAAAAUAUCAAAAACCGAAUUUCAUUGAAAUUGGUCGAGUAGUUUCGAAGAUAUGGUUUUUGACCCAUAAGUGAGCGGAGCUCAGUAAAAUUUGGAACAAAGUAUCGCCCUAUGAAGUGCCAUAUUUUGACGUAAUAUUUUUGGGGAAGUGGGCUUGGCCCCGCCCCCUACUAAGUUUUUUGUACAUAUCUCGUAAACUACUUGAGCUAUAUCAACGAAACUUUCUAGAAUCCCAUACAAAGAUUAUGUUGAAAACUACUAAAAAUUUUAAGUCCGCCCACUUAUGGGUUAAAAACCAUAUCUCCGAAACUACUCGACCAAUAUCAAUGAAACUUGGUUUGUAAUAUUUUCCUUACCAUUUCCCAUUGAUAUGUUGUGGCCAAAUCGGUUCACAACCACGUCUAUUUUACAAUAUGUAUAGUAGGCACUAGUGAAGAUAUCGGAACAGAACUUUGCAUAAAUGCUGCAUUUAUAGUGUGGCAGCCCCUUUCUGAAAAAUCGGAACAUUUUGGUUUUUAAGGCCCCAUAUACCGAAAUUGAGGACCUCGGUGCUUCUAACCUAAUAUUAGGGUUUCCAACUUUCAAUGGACUUUAUACAAUAUAUUAUAUAUGACUUAGCCCUUCCUAUUAAUUUAUUUUGUUAAAUAAAAAAGAUAAAUUUUGGGAAAAUCAGAUGAAUUUUUGCGACAUUCCCCAUAUAUGGUGUCUACAACACAUAAAUCUUGUGAAAAGUGAUUUUUUAAAUCGUGUUAACGUGUGUGAAAUUUUUGUUGAAAUAUUUGAUCUUUAAAGCCGAAUAUCUCGAAAACUAGGCGUCUGCGUUACCUAUAAUCUACAUCUAUAUUUUUCAAUCCUUUAAUUAAAUUUUCUCAGCAUGGAUUUUGCAAAGGGAAAUCUACAGUAACAAACUUGCUUGAAUUUGUAAACCAUGUGUCAAUGGGUUUUAGGGAUAAUAAGAAUACUGAUGUUAUAUAUACAGACUUUAGUAAAGCAUUCGAUAGAGUAAACCACUCAAUUCUUUUGCAACAACUGGAUCUUCUUGGUUUUCAACCAAUACUUCUUGAAUGGGUGUCCUUAUAUCUUACUAACAGAAAACAACAAGUUUUAUUUAAUGAUACAUUAUCCGAUUCUAUUAGUGUCACUUCAGGGGUUCCACAGGGUAUUCAUCUCGGCCCGAUUCUGUUCUUUUUGUUCAUCAAUUAAGUUUUCAGAAAUUUUAUUAUAUGCGGAUGAUGUAAAACUUUUUAAAUCAUAUACUUCUUAUAAUUCUCCUUUUUUUAAUUCUCAUGUAAAUUCAAUUGUCUUAAAAGCUAAAGGUGCUCUUAGCUUUGUUAAACGUUGGUCUAAAGAAUUUAGUGAUCCGUAUAUUACUAAAAUUCUUUUUACAAAAUUGGUAAGGCCUAUAUUGGAGUAUGGUUCUGUGGUAUGGAAUCCUAGCUAUCAAUCCCAUUCUGAUAAGCUUGAGUCCGUUCAAAAACAAUUUUUACUUUUUGCUUUAGGCCACUUACAUUGGGAUUCAAGAUUGAAUCUUCCCCCGUAUACUAGUCGUUUAAAACUUAUAAAUCUUCCCACACUCACUAGUUGCAGAGAAAUGCUAGGUAUAUCUAUUGUCUGAUAUUAAGUUUAAUGUCCCAUUGCGUUCAACUAGGAAGUUUAGACCAUUACAUCUAAAGUCUUCUAGAACAAAUUUUGAGUUAAAUGAACCAUUCCGCCGAAUAUGUCAGGAUUUUAAUUCUCAUUCCAGCAUAUUUGAUCCAUCUGAUCCAUCUCAAUAUUUAGCAUCAAAAAAAAUAUUUUGUCUUCUCUUAAUAAGUAAUAUUCAGAAAUUUUUAACUUUUUGUUUUCAUAAAUUUUUAAAUCUCAGCUGUUGAAAUGUUUCUUUCUGUAGUUGAGCAGUUUGAGAACUGGACGCUUAAAAAUCUCUUGCCUUUCUAGACUCGGCAAAUUCCGCUCGUAUGCGGACUGCGCCCCACGCGUCGGUUGGGCGGGAGGAGGGUAAUCGUUUGGGUUUAUUAUUAUUAUGUUUAUCAAUUAUAAUCUGCAUAGUUUUAAUGUUUCACUUAUAUACACAAUAAACAGUAUUGGCCCCAGAAUUGAUCCAUGUGGUAUUCCUUUUUUUCACCAAUCUAUUGUCCUUCCAUUCCUUCUAGUUCUUAGAUAGUUCAUUUCAAUUUAACUUCUCUGGUCCCAAAUUUAUAAAUGCGUUUUUUUUAACAAAGUCUUUAUUUAUUAUGUGAAAGGUCUCUUAAAGUCUAAAAAACUACCAUAAUUUUGUUUACUUGUCCCACCUUCCUUCUAUUCAUUAAAUGUAUAAUUUAAUAAUAAUAUUUGGAAUAAAGGGCAUUAUCGUACAAAUAUUCCAUCAGCUAUUGUUUAACAACUGAAUUAUUCCACCUUCUUUGCUCAUUUUGAUCAUUAUUGAUUGGUAUUAUUUUUAAUAAGCUUUUAUUAGCUUCACUUGUAUGUAUGUAUGUAUGUUUGUAACUUUUUCCAGUACUGACACUGCAUGAAGGUGAUCAAAAGUGUGAACAACUCACCAAAGAGAUGCGCUUAAAAGUAUACAACAUACAUAUGUAUUAAACUGCUGCACAAGCAGGCUUAUUCCUUGUUUCAAGUCAUUCGUAAUUUAACAUGACAAUGCAAUGUUUUU
Zeugodacus cucurbitae (melon fly) is the source of this 11029-nucleotide long non-coding RNA. RefSeq lists it as uncharacterized. The transcript is spliced from 2 exons. Lineage: Eukaryota; Metazoa; Arthropoda; Insecta; Diptera; Tephritidae. The record is from RefSeq and is a predicted model, not a curated record.